This 355-nucleotide transfer-messenger RNA is filed under the name Clostridia. RNAcentral describes it as "UBA4716 sp905215805 Standard tmRNA". It matches the Rfam family "transfer-messenger RNA". Rfam says of the family: Bacterial tmRNA, also known as 10Sa RNA or SsrA, is named for its dual tRNA and mRNA-like properties. Its role is to liberate the mRNA from a stalled ribosome. Lineage: Bacteria; Bacillati; Bacillota. RNAcentral also lists the same sequence under 1 other name. The record is from RNAcentral.
GGGGCUGCAAUGGCUUCGACGGGGAUGAGGAAGCUUGAGAAGCGAGCCGCGGAUGAGUCAGCCGCGUUAACAAGGCUCAAACUUAAAUAUAAACGCUAACGAUACAGAAUUAGCUUACGCUGCCUAAUUGCGGCGUUGUCUCCCCUGUGAGUACCACGGCAUAGGCUGAGGCAUGAUAUCAGUGGUGAACGUGAACAGGUGAUUGGUUCGUAGCCUGUCAUGAAUAACGAAUCUACCUGCAUAUUUGCUCUGGCUAUGAGGUGUUUAUGCAGGGAAUUUUAUUCAUAGCCUGCGCUCGGAGAAACUUGGGUGGAUUUGUUCUCGGACACGAGUUCGAUUCUCGUCAGCUCCACCA